GAGAUGAGGAGCAAAAUCUUACCUUUAUUCCCACGGUUUUAUUUAUUCCAACGGCGGUGGGCACAACAUUGCACUCUCCCAAUAACAUCAGCAGCCAACAGCAUCCAGCCGAGCUGUAAACACAAGCCCAACCAACCUGCAACCAACCCGCUGGCAUCCGC
Notothenia coriiceps (black rockcod) is the source of this 161-nucleotide long non-coding RNA. RefSeq lists it as uncharacterized. Lineage: Eukaryota; Metazoa; Chordata; Actinopteri; Perciformes; Nototheniidae. The transcript has 3 exons. The record is from RefSeq and is a predicted model, not a curated record.